Molecule: ribosomal RNA, 406 nt
Filed under: uncultured bacterium
Lineage: Bacteria
Description: bacterial SSU rRNA
Rfam family: Bacterial small subunit ribosomal RNA
Source: RNAcentral
UGAGGAAUCUUCUGCAAUGGGCGAAAGCCUGACAGAGCAAUACCGCGUGAGGGAUGAAGGCCUGCGGGUUGUAAACCUCUUUUCUCAAGGAAGAAGAACUGACGUUACUUGAGGAAUAAGCAUCGGCUAACCACGUGCCAGCAGCCGCGGUAAUACAUGGGAUGCGAGUGUUAUCCGGAAUUAUUGGGCGUAGAGCGUCUGCAGGUUGAAAUUUAAGUUUUUUGUUAAAUCUUUAGGCUCAACCUGAAAACUGCAAAAAAAACUAUUUUUCUAGAGUUUGAGAGAGGUUAAGGGAAUUCCCAGUGGAGCGGUGAAAUGUGUAGAUAUUGGGAGGAACACCAAUGGCGAAGGCACUUAACUGGAACAAAACUGACACUCAGAGACGAAAGCUAGGGGAUCAAAUCAG